AAGGAUCAUUAUCAGAAAAUUUCAUUAUUUUUUGAAAUAUUUUUCCAAUUUCCCCCUGUGUAUUGUACUCCAUGUUGCUUCCACUAGACUGGUAUUUAAAAUACCCUUCAACCCACUAAUACUUUGGAGGAUUGAAGUAAUGUCGGUGGAUAGCCUUAAACUAAACGAAGUUUUUUGUUUUAAAUAAUAGUCUGAUAAAAGUUAAAAAAUAAUAAUAAAAACUUUCAACAACGGAUCUCUAGGCUCUUGCAUCGAUGAAGAACGCAGUGAAAUGUGAUAAGUAAUGUGAAUUGCAGAAUCUCGUGAAUCAUCGAAUCUUUGAACGCACAUUGCGCCCAAUGGUAUUCCACUGGGCAUACCUGUUUGAGUGUCAGAAUCCUUCUAAUAAUCAAACUUUUAUAUAUCCAUAUAAAGAUGUUUGGAUGUUAAUUGAGAAGAGUAGUAUCGUUAUAAUAUUACUUUCUUAAAAACCAGAAAUAUUUUGUUUUGGUUUUCUUCCCAACUCAUUUUAUAUUUAAUAUAGCAAAUGAGUGUGACUUUAACAAGGAACAAUAAUAAUACUUUUUGGAUGACCUCAAAUCAGGUAGGGAUACCCGCUGAACUUAA
This 606-nucleotide ribosomal RNA is filed under the name Pachyphlodes aff. carneus GO-2008-126. Its description in RNAcentral is "eukaryotic LSU rRNA". The stretch from base 220 to 373 matches the Rfam family "5.8S ribosomal RNA". Lineage: Eukaryota; Fungi; Ascomycota; Pezizomycetes; Pezizales; Pezizaceae. The record is from RNAcentral.